GCCAGGCAUGGUGGUGUGCACCUGUAGUCCCAGCUACUUGGGAGGCUGAAGCAGGAGAAUUGCUUGAACCCAGGAGUUUGAGGCUACAGUGAGCUAUGAUUAUGCCACUGUACUCUAGCUUGGGUGACAGAGUGAGAUCCUGUCUCUU
Unclassified non-coding RNA from Macaca fascicularis (crab-eating macaque), 148 nucleotides. It matches the Rfam family "Metazoan signal recognition particle RNA". Rfam says of the family: The signal recognition particle (SRP) is a universally conserved ribonucleoprotein. It is involved in the co-translational targeting of proteins to membranes. NCBI's taxonomy places the organism in Eukaryota, Metazoa, Chordata, Mammalia, Primates, Cercopithecidae. The record is from Ensembl.